Non-coding RNA from Drechslerella stenobrocha 248, 172 nucleotides. NCBI's taxonomy places the organism in Eukaryota, Fungi, Ascomycota, Orbiliomycetes, Orbiliales, Orbiliaceae. The record is from Rfam.
CCUGAAGUAUUCCCUUUUGAACCUACUUGAUUAUGCAUAAGAAGUAAUUCGUUUGUAUAAAGCUUUGAGGAAUAAAGGCUUUUGACAGUAAAGCCUUGGUUAAGAGAAUUAUGGUAAACGUAAGUGAAGAUGCGCUAUAAAUGGCCCGUAUUAAUUUCAGCUGCGAAGCAGC